This is a non-coding RNA of Firmicutes bacterium CAG:124, 265 nucleotides long. It matches the Rfam family "Bacterial large signal recognition particle RNA". Rfam says of the family: The signal recognition particle (SRP) is a universally conserved ribonucleoprotein involved in the co-translational targeting of proteins to membranes. Archaeal SRP consists of a 7S RNA and homologues of the eukaryotic SRP19 and SRP54 proteins. The record is from Rfam. Lineage: Bacteria; Bacillati; Bacillota.
CUGCACUACUUGGGGAGAUAGCGGUGCCCUGUUACCCGCAAUCCGCUACAGCGGGGAGGAAUUCCCGACCGAGGGUGUAUGCUGUGUCGUCUGACCCGGAUAAGCGGUGUUGAAGAUCUGGUCUUGCGCAAUAGGGCUCUGUGAACCGUGUCAGGUGGGGAACCAAGCAGCACUAAGCAGUCUACCCUGUGUGCCGCAAGGUUGCCGUUUCGGAGCUGGCUGUCCGGGUAACGGGUGUAGCAUCCAUUCGGAGAAGGGUGUGCAG